AGCGAACGCUGGCGUCAGGCCUAACACAUGCAAGUCGAACGAACCUUUCGGGGUUAGUGGCGGACGGGUGAGUAGCACGUGGGAACGUGCCUUUAGGUUCGGAAUAACUCAGGGAAACUUGUGCUAAUACCGAAUGUGCCCUUCGGGGGAAAGAUUUAUCGCCUUUAGAGCGGCCCGCGUCUGAUUAGCUAGUUGGUUGAGGUAAUGGCUCACCAAGGCGACGAUCAGUAGCUGGUCUGAGAGGAUGAUCAGCCACAUUGGGACUGAGACACGGCCCAAACUCCUACGGGAGGCAGCAGUGGGGAAUCUUGCGCAAUGGGCGAAAGCCUGACGCAGCCAUGCCGCGUGAAUGAUGAAGGUCUUAGGAUUGUAAAAUUCUUUCACCGGGGACGAUAAUGACGGUACCCGGAGAAGAAGCCCCGGCUAACUUCGUG
This 434-nucleotide ribosomal RNA is filed under the name uncultured bacterium. RNAcentral describes it as "partial 16S ribosomal RNA". It matches the Rfam family "Bacterial small subunit ribosomal RNA", at positions 29 to 507 of the family's 1533-position model. The record is from RNAcentral.